AAGGUGCUGUAUAUAUUCACAUUGAAAUUCUUAAGAAUACAGUGAAAAAAAUAAUAACUUGACAUCUUAGUAGAAGCACGUGUUUUCUUGGGAUGAUGUGAGGAUAGAUGCUAGCUCCGGAGAGAAUGACAGGACGGCGGGGAGGGGUAAGAGAAACUGUUUGAAUCUGAUCUGGGUUUUCAGAGUCUGUCCUCAUAAUCUCCCGGUCUUUCAGUGGCAGUAUGAACUUUGUGUGGCAAUUUAAAUUGAGUGCAAUCGUUAUCUGCCUCUUAGAAUCUUUAAUAUGAGAACAUUUAACAUGUGAGACCUUACAACAGUGUUCUAGUAUAAUCUGAACAAAACGUCAGUUUUUUCUUUAUUAUGAUUUGAGUGUGAAUGAUUGCCAUAAUCUGUUAAAUUUCCUCUCUGAGAGAAAGCAAGCAAAGUCGAUCUUUUUGCCUUUUUUUGCUUUCAAAUGCAUUCGGAGGCAAUACACACAUUUUUAUAGACAGAUUUUAUUUCAUUUAGUCAACGUUUAUUUAGUACUUGCGUAGCUGGGAAGUGCGUGGGUUUGGGUGGGAUUGUGUUAGACAUCCUCUCCUCUGCUCCUGCCUCUUUCUCAUCUAUAGACAUGGUCCUGCUUUCUCAUUUAUAGAUACAUUUGCCUCCCUGCCUCAUCUGAUUUGAAUCUCCUUCAUUCCAUAUGUGCCAGGCACGUAAAAGGUGUCGAUACGUCAUUUUGUUGUCAUUGCUCUGAAGCUUGAAUGCUUAGGGAAAGUUUUGAUGUCUCGUUCUCUCUCCAGCCCUCUGAUCCCAAAGUGUCCAGACAAGAUAGUGGGGGAGAGCUCUAGACCACAGGCACAUGACACGGUCAGCGAGGGACUUAAUCCCUCUCCCCGCCUCCCGCCCCCAGUCUCGUGCAGUCUGAAUGGGUGACUCCACGUGGAGCACCGAGGACAGCAGCCGGCACCUAAGAAGUUUCCGUGAAGGCAGCUAUUAGUAUUGACGUUAUUCCAUGGUUCUGUCGUCUGUCCUUCGGGGUGUUUCUUGUGUUUCUCCUUACUCUCUCUGACAUUUGAUUAAUUUUCUUUCAUUUUAGACAUACGCCAGGAUUUUGUCUGGAAUGUAUUCUCAUAAAAUAUAGUAUUUUCGUGUGUGAGACUUUUAAUUUUUAUUCUUUUGAGACUUUUUAUUUUUAUGUGUAAAAUAGAGAAAACAAAACUUAACAUCUUACCUUUUUUUAAGUGUACAGUUCGGCAACAGUAAGUAUAUUCACUCUGUUGAGCGAUCUCGCCAUCACCGAUCCCCAGAACUGGGAGCUAGGGUGAGCUUGACUGUGAAAGGGAAUGUGGGAAGUUUUGGGGUGAUGGAAAUACUCUCUAUCUUAACAGCGAUGUGAGGGUAUUUACAUGAUGUACCAUGUGUCAGUACUCAUCGAACUGGAAGCUUAAAGCCGUUCCAUUUUCUUACAUAUAAAUUAUUCCUCAAAGAUAACUCAUAAGGAAAAACAGAAUAAAAACUAAUAGAAGAAAAAAUAACUAAGUGUGAAGUGAGAAGGAUAGAGUAUAAGUAGGAUCAGUUAUCCUCUUUCCUAGCAGGGACUUCAUAGAUAAUGUUUUAUUGUUUAUUUAUUUGUUAAUAGAUAAUGUUUUAAAUUGAUAUAUCAAUGAAUAGCAA
Mustela erminea (ermine) is the source of this 1656-nucleotide long non-coding RNA. RefSeq lists it as uncharacterized. The transcript has 2 exons. The record is from RefSeq and is a predicted model, not a curated record. NCBI's taxonomy places the organism in Eukaryota, Metazoa, Chordata, Mammalia, Carnivora, Mustelidae.